Molecule: ribosomal RNA, 2810 nt
Filed under: Shigella flexneri
Lineage: Bacteria; Pseudomonadati; Pseudomonadota; Gammaproteobacteria; Enterobacterales; Enterobacteriaceae
Description: partial 23S ribosomal RNA
Rfam family: Bacterial large subunit ribosomal RNA
Source: RNAcentral
GGUUAAGCGACUAAGCGUACACGGUGGAUGCCCUGGCAGUCAGAGGCGAUGAAGGACGUGCUAAUCUGCGAUAAGCGUCGGUAAGGUGAUAUGAACCGUUAUAACCGGCGAUUUCCGAAUGGGGAAACCCAGUGUGAUUCGUCACACUAUCAUUAACUGAAUCCAUAGGUUAAUGAGGCGAACCGGGGGAACUGAAACAUCUAAGUACCCCGAGGAAAAGAAAUCAACCGAGAUUCCCCCAGUAGCGGCGAGCGAACGGGGAGCAGCCCAGAGCCUGAAUCAGUGUGUGUGUUAGUGGAAGCGUCUGGAAAGGCGUGCGAUACAGGGUGACAGCCCCGUACACAAAAAUGCACAUACUGUGAGCUCGAUGAGUAGGGCGGGACACGUGGUAUCCUGUCUGAAUAUGGGGGGACCAUCCUCCAAGGCUAAAUACUCCUGACUGACCGAUAGUGAACCAGUACCGUGAGGGAAAGGCGAAAAGAACCCCGGCGAGGGGAGUGAAAAAGAACCUGAAACCGUGUACGUACAAGCAGUGGGAGCACGCUUAGGCGUGUGACUGCGUACCUUUUGUAUAAUGGGUCAGCGACUUAUAUUCUGUAGCAAGGUUAACCGAAUAGGGGAGCCGAAGGGAAACCGAGUCUUAACUGGGCGUUAAGUUGCAGGGUAUAGACCCGAAACCCGGUGAUCUAGCCAUGGGCAGGUUGAAGGUUGGGUAACACUAACUGGAGGACCGAACCGACUAAUGUUGAAAAAUUAGCGGAUGACUUGUGGCUGGGGGUGAAAGGCCAAUCAAACCGGGAGAUAGCUGGUUCUCCCCGAAAGCUAUUUAGGUAGCGCCUCGUGAAUUCAUCUCCGGGGGUAGAGCACUGUUUCGGCAAGGGGGUCAUCCCGACUUACCAACCCGAUGCAAACUGCGAAUACCGGAGAAUGUUAUCACGGGAGACACACGGCGGGUGCUAACGUCCGUCGUGAAGAGGGAAACAACCCAGACCGCCAGCUAAGGUCCCAAAGUCAUGGUUAAGUGGGAAACGAUGUGGGAAGGCCCAGACAGCCAGGAUGUUGGCUUAGAAGCAGCCAUCAUUUAAAGAAAGCGUAAUAGCUCACUGGUCGAGUCGGCCUGCGCGGAAGAUGUAACGGGGCUAAACCAUGCACCGAAGCUGCGGCAGCGACGCUUAUGCGUUGUUGGGUAGGGGAGCGUUCUGUAAGCCUGUGAAGGUGUGCUGUGAGGUAUGCUGGAGGUAUCAGAAGUGCGAAUGCUGACAUAAGUAACGAUAAAGCGGGUGAAAAGCCCGCUCGCCGGAAGACCAAGGGUUCCUGUCCAACGUUAAUCGGGGCAGGGUGAGUCGACCCCUAAGGCGAGGCCGAAAGGCGUAGUCGAUGGGAAACAGGUUAAUAUUCCUGUACUUGGUGUUACUGCGAAGGGGGGACGGAGAAGGCUAUGUUGGCCGGGCGACGGUUGUCCCGGUUUAAGCGUGUAGGCUGGUUUUCCAGGCAAAUCCGGAAAAUCAAGGCCGAGGCGUGAUGACGAGGCACUACGGUGCUGAAGCAACAAAUGCCCUGCUUCCAGGAAAAGCCUCUAAGCAUCAGGUAACAUCAAAUCGUACCCCAAACCGACACAGGUGGUCAGGUAGAGAAUACCAAGGCGCUUGAGAGAACUCGGGUGAAGGAACUAGGCAAAAUGGUGCCGUAACUUCGGGAGAAGGCACGCUGAUACGUAGGUGAAGCGACUUGCUCGUGGAGCUGAAAUCAGUCGAAGAUACCAGCUGGCUGCAACUGUUUAUUAAAAACACAGCACUGUGCAAACACGAAAGUGGACGUAUACGGUGUGACGCCUGCCCGGUGCCGGAAGGUUAAUUGAUGGGGUUAGCGCAAGCGAAGCUCUUGAUCGAAGCCCCGGUAAACGGCGGCCGUAACUAUAACGGUCCUAAGGUAGCGAAAUUCCUUGUCGGGUAAGUUCCGACCUGCACGAAUGGCGUAAUGAUGGCCAGGCUGUCUCCACCCGAGACUCAGUGAAAUUGAACUCGCUGUGAAGAUGCAGUGUACCCGCGGCAAGACGGAAAGACCCCGUGAACCUUUACUAUAGCUUGACACUGAACAUUGAGCCUUGAUGUGUAGGAUAGGUGGGAGGCUUUGAAGUGUGGACGCCAGUCUGCAUGGAGCCGACCUUGAAAUACCACCCUUUAAUGUUUGAUGUUCUAACGUGGACCCGUGAUCCGGGUUGCGGACAGUGUCUGGUGGGUAGUUUGACUGGGGCGGUCUCCUCCUAAAGAGUAACGGAGGAGCACGAAGGUUGGCUAAUCCUGGUCGGACAUCAGGAGGUUAGUGCAAUGGCAUAAGCCAGCUUGACUGCGAGCGUGACGGCGCGAGCAGGUGCGAAAGCAGGUCAUAGUGAUCCGGUGGUUCUGAAUGGAAGGGCCAUCGCUCAACGGAUAAAAGGUACUCCGGGGAUAACAGGCUGAUACCGCCCAAGAGUUCAUAUCGACGGCGGUGUUUGGCACCUCGAUGUCGGCUCAUCACAUCCUGGGGCUGAAGUAGGUCCCAAGGGUAUGGCUGUUCGCCAUUUAAAGUGGUACGCGAGCUGGGUUUAGAACGUCGUGAGACAGUUCGGUCCCUAUCUGCCGUGGGCGCUGGAGAACUGAGGGGGGCUGCUCCUAGUACGAGAGGACCGGAGUGGACGCAUCACUGGUGUUCGGGUUGUCAUGCCAAUGGCACUGCCCGGUAGCUAAAUGCGGAAGAGAUAAGUGCUGAAAGCAUCUAAGCACGAAACUUGCCCCGAGAUGAGUUCUCCCUGACCCUUUAAGGGUCCUGAA